GCUCAGUAACACGUGGAUAACCUGCCCUUGGGUCUGGGAUAACCCCGGGAAACUGGGGAUAAUACCGGAUAACGCAUAUGUGCUGGAAUGCUUUAUGCGUAAAACGGAUUCGUCCGCCCAAGGAUGGGUCUGCGGCCUAUCAGGUAGUAGUGGGUGUAAUGUACCUACUAGCCAACAACGGGUACGGGUUGUGAGAGCAAGAGCCCGGAGAUGGAUUCUGAGACAUGAAUCCAGGCCCUACGGGGCGCAGCAGGCGCGAAAACUUUACAAUGCGGGAAACCGUGAUAAGGGAACACCGAGUGCCAGCAUCAUAUGCUGGCUGUCCAGAUGUGUAAACUACAUCUGUUAGCAAGGGCCGGGCAAGACCGGCGCCAGCCGCCGCGGUAACACCGGCGGCCCGAGUGGUGACCGUUAUUAUUGGGUCUAAAGGGUCCGUAGCCGGUUUGGUCAGUCCUCCGGGAAAUCUGAUAGCUUAACUGUUAGGCUUUCGGGGGAUACUGCCAGGCUUGGAACCGGGAGAGGUAAGAGGUACUACAGGGGUAGGAGUGAAAUCUUGUAAUCUCUGUGAGACCACCUGUGGCGAAGGCGUCUUACCAGAACGGGUUCGACGGUGAGGGACGAAAGCUGGGGGCACGAACCGGAUUAGAUACCCGGGUAGUCCCAGCCGUAAACUAUGCUCGCUAGGUGUCAGGCAUGGCGCGACCGUGUCUGGUGCCGCAGGAAGCCGUGAAGCGAGCCACCUGGGAAGUACGGCCGCAAGGCUGAA
Molecule: ribosomal RNA, 766 nt
Filed under: uncultured methanogenic archaeon
Lineage: Archaea; Methanobacteriati; Methanobacteriota
Description: bacterial SSU rRNA
Rfam family: Archaeal small subunit ribosomal RNA
Source: RNAcentral